GACGAACGCUGGCGGCGUGCUUAACACAUGCAAGUCGAACGGUGAAGCGCCUUCCUUUUUGGUGGGUGUGGAUGAGUGGCGAACGGGUGAGUAACACGUGAGUAACCUGCCCCCUUCUUCUGGAUAACCGCAUGAAAGUGUGGCUAAUACGGGAUAUUCUGGGUCUGUCGCAUGAUGGGUCUGGGAAAGAUAUUGUUUCGGUGGGGGAUGGGCUCGCGGCCUAUCAGCUUGUUGGUGGGGUGAUGGCCUACCAAGGCGGUGACGGGUAGCCGGCCUGAGAGGGUGGACGGUCACACUGGGACUGAGACACGGCCCAGACUCCGACGGGAGGCAGCAGUGGGGAAUAGUGCACAAUGGGCGCAAGCCUGAUGCAGCGACGCCGCGUGAGGGAUGGAGGCCUUCGGGUUGUGAACCUCUUUCGCCAGUGAAGCAGGCCUGCCUCGUUUGUGGGUGGGUUGACGGUAGCUGGAUAAGAAGCACCGGCUAACUACGUG
RNAcentral lists this ribosomal RNA (494 nucleotides) under uncultured bacterium. RNAcentral describes it as "partial 16S ribosomal RNA". It matches the Rfam family "Bacterial small subunit ribosomal RNA", at positions 28 to 507 of the family's 1533-position model. The record is from RNAcentral.